Long non-coding RNA from Zonotrichia leucophrys gambelii, 1068 nucleotides. RefSeq lists it as uncharacterized. The record is from RefSeq and is a predicted model, not a curated record. The transcript is spliced from 3 exons. Lineage: Eukaryota; Metazoa; Chordata; Aves; Passeriformes; Passerellidae.
UUCACCCCCAGCGCCCUCAGGGGCGGAGAGCCACCAGAACCCCCCGGCACCACGUCAGCUGUGUGAAGGUGAAGAAGACAGGUGUUGUUUGCUGUAUGCUAAGAAGGGGGCACCCUGCCCCGUUUGCAACAAUAGCAGCUCUGGAAGCUGUCCCACCUCUUGGCCUGGCCGGACUUCUCCUGAGUUUCAGUAUACUGGACUGGACCUGCUGGACCUGUGAUGAACCAUCUGGAGUCCUGGUCUCCUUCCUAUGACAGAUGGCAAUGGCUGGACCUUCGAAGGACAAAAGCAGCAUCACGUUUCGGUAGUUAUAUCCAUCUCCCCUCUCUUCUGGGAAGCAGAGCCCCAGAAAAAGAAUGUAAACAAAUUGUUAUCGGCUGUUGUGAAAUGUGGCAGGUGAUCCUGUGACUGGUUCAUCUUCCAUGUGUACCAUUAAGGGCCAAUCACAGGAGCAGCUCAGGGGAGAUUCCUUGAACACAGAACUUUGUUAUUCAUUCCUUCUAUUCUAUUCUUAGCUUAGCAGCUCUCUGCAAGCUCUCUCUUUAUUCUUUAAAGUAUAGCUAUAAUGUAUUAUAUAUUAUAUAUCAAUAAAUCAAGCCUUCUGAUCAAGGAACAAGAUUCUCGUCCUUCUCUCACCACAGCGACCGCUGCAGGUCACUGUAAUAUCUGGUGACCCCUUGUGUCAGAGCAAAAAUUAAUUUGAUAAGACCAGAGGAGCAAAAUUGCUGCACUGGGAAAAAUCCUGUAUGUGUAGCAUGUGAUGGUUGCUUUGAAGUGACCACAAGUGAACCUUCUUCUGGAAAACCUUCAGGAAACAUGGUAGACAUGAGCAGCAUACCCGUGGAGCUGGCCAGAGCAAGCUGGACUCUUUCAGAAGGUACUGUUUGCUUUUCUAUCCCUGAGGGUUCAGCCAUGAGAAAAUUAUGGCUGUUUAUAUGGGGGAUACACCCCUCAGAGGACGUGGUUCGUUUUUCUUCUUCAGAGAAGAAACUUAUUGCCCUCUGGCAAGAAUGGUGUAGAGAAGACGGAUUUUUUUUGGAAAAAACAGAUCUCUAUAAGUUAUUUCGA